GACGAACGCUGGCGGCGCGCCUAACACAUGCAAGUCGAACGAGCGAGAGAGAGCUUGCUUUCUCGAGCGAGUGGCGAACGGGUGAGUAACGCGUGAGGAACCUGCCUCAAAGAGGGGGACAACAGUUGGAAACGACUGCUAAUACCGCAUAAGCCCACGACCCGGCAUCGGGUAGAGGGAAAAGGAGCAAUCCGCUUUGAGAUGGCCUCGCGUCCGAUUAGCUAGUUGGUGAGGUAACGGCCCACCAAGGCAACGAUCGGUAGCCGGACUGAGAGGUUGAACGGCCACAUUGGGACUGAGACACGGCCCAGACUCCUACGGGAGGCAGCAGUGGGGAAUAUUGCACAAUGGGGGGAACCCUGAUGCAGCGACGCCGCGUGGAGGAAGAAGGUCUUCGGAUUGUAAACUCCUGUUGUUGAGGAAGAUAAUGACGGUACUCAACAAGGAAGUGACGGCUAACUACGUG
This 466-nucleotide ribosomal RNA is filed under the name uncultured bacterium. RNAcentral describes it as "bacterial SSU rRNA". It matches the Rfam family "Bacterial small subunit ribosomal RNA", at positions 28 to 507 of the family's 1533-position model. The record is from RNAcentral.